GAUUAAGCUACAAAGGGUACACGGGGGAUGCCUUGGCGUCAAGAGCCGACGAAGGACGUGGUUGACUGCGAAAAGCUCCGGGGAACCGUCAGCAGGUGUUAUAGCCGGAGAUGUCCGAAUGGGGAAACCCAGUUGAGCUAAUCCUCAACUAUCCGUGGCUGAAUAAAAUAGGCCAUUGGAAGGGAACCGGGCGAACUGAAACAUCUAAGUAGCCCGAGGAAAAGAGAUCAUUCUGCUAGUAGUGGCGAGCGAACGCGGAAAAGCCCAAACUGCUGUACUUGUACAGUGGGGUUGUAGGACCUGGCAAAAGUUAUGAGUUUGUUAGCGGAAUUGUACUGGAAAGAUAGACCGUAGAGGGUGACAGUCCCGUACGCGAAAACGAACUGAUGAGGGCCGGGUAUCCUGAGUACCACGGGGCACGCUAAUCCUGUGGGAAACCGGGGAGUCCACUCCCCAAGGCUAAAUACUCUUGACGACCGAUAGUGAACAAGUACCGUGAGGGAAAGGUGAAAAGAACCGCGGUGAGCGGAGUGAAAUAGAAUCUGAAACCGUGUACCUACAAUCAGUCGAAGCCCUAUGCCGAUUUGGAAGUCGGAAGGGGUGACGGCGUGCCUUUUGGAGAAUGAGCCGACGAGUUACUUUCUGUGGCCAGGUUAAGGCAGGGACAGCCGGAGCCGUAGCGAAAGCGAGUCUGAAUAGGGCGGAUAGUCGCAGGGAGUAGACACGAAACCGGGUGAGCUAACCAUGGUCAGGUUGAAGCGAGAGUAAUGUCUCGUGGAGGACCGAACGGGUAUACGUUGUAAAGUGUUCCGAUGAACUGUGGUUAGGGGUGAAAUGCCAAACGAACUCGGAGAUAGCUUGUUCUCCCCGAAAUAGCUUUAGGGCUAGCCUCGUGUGUUUAAUCUCGGAGGUAGAGCACUGGAUUGGCUAGGGGGUCUCUGACUUACCAAACCAAACCAAACUGCGAAUGCCGAGAUUUGAGAGCACGGGAGUCGGACGGCGAAUGAUGAGAUCCGUCGUCGAGAGGGAAAGAGCCCAGAUCGUCAGCUAAGGUCCCCAAGUGAUGACUAAGUGGGAAAGGAUGUGAGACUACUGAGACAUCCAGGAGGUUGGCUUAGAAGCAGCCACCCUUUAAAGAGUGCGUAAUAGCUCACUGGCCUAGUGGUCUUGCGCCGAAAAUAUAACGGGGCUCAAGUCAUCCACCGAAGCUACGAAUUCGGUAGUAGGUAGUAUGGAGUAGGUAGUAGGGAGAAAAAGCCCUUACUACCUACUGCCUACUACCUACUACGGAGUGGUAGGGGAGCGUUGUGCAGGAGACAAGAAAACAGUGCUGACCGGAAGGACAGCUUGCGGCCUGCACAAGUGCGAAUGUCGGCAUGAGUAGCGAAAAACAUGUGAGAACCAUGUUCGCCGUAUGUCUAAGGUUUCCGACGGAAGGUUAAUCCGCGUCGGGUUAGUCGGGCCUAAGCCGAGGCAGGAAUGCGUAGGCGAUGGACAACAGGUUAAUAAUCCUGUACCGCCGCAUGGAGCGAUGGGGGGACGCAGGAGGGUAGACCAGCCGGGUGAUGGACGUCCCGGUGCUGAACCGGUAGGGUGAUGAGCCUCGUAGGGAAAUCCGCGAGGGGAGCUUGAGCGGUUGUAAGCGGGCCGUAAGGCCAGAAGUGGUUAAGCCCCCACUGACAAGAAAAGCCUCUAAGCGAAGAAGUGUGGCGACCGUACCGCAAACCGACACAGGUAGACGGGUAGAAAAUACCGAGGCGAUCGGGGAAACUCUCGUUAAGGAACUAGGCAAAAUAGAUCCGUAACUUCGGGAGAAGGAUCGCCCUGGCCGGUGAAGUGAGAACUUAUGGAGCUGGUUGGGGUCGCAGAGAAAUGGCUCUAUCGACUGUUUAACAAAAACACAGGUCUGUGCCAACGCGUAAGCGGACGUAUACGGGCUGACGCCUGCCCAGUGCCGGAAGGUUAAGAGGAGGGGUGCAAGCUCCGAAUUGAAGCCCCGGUGAACGGCGGCCGUAACUAUAACGGUCCUAAGGUAGCGAAAUUCCUUGUCGGGUAAGUUCC
This 2061-nucleotide ribosomal RNA is filed under the name Oscillatoriaceae cyanobacterium M33_DOE_052. Its description in RNAcentral is "Bacterial large subunit ribosomal RNA". It matches the Rfam family "Bacterial large subunit ribosomal RNA", at positions 1 to 1984 of the family's 2925-position model. The record is from Rfam by way of RNAcentral. Lineage: Bacteria; Bacillati; Cyanobacteriota; Cyanophyceae; Oscillatoriales; Oscillatoriaceae.